Molecule: ribosomal RNA, 255 nt
Filed under: Triticum aestivum (bread wheat)
Lineage: Eukaryota; Viridiplantae; Streptophyta; Magnoliopsida; Poales; Poaceae
Description: partial small subunit ribosomal RNA
Source: RNAcentral
AUGCAGACCUUACUACGCAUGCUGAAUACUUCAUCAACAACCUCAAAGAGACAUGGAACUGUCACUAUGAAAACUCAAAGGUCCAGAUCAGACAUUUUCCAAUUGAGUACGUGGCGACUACGAAGCAAGGAAACCGGCACGACUGCGGCUUCCACAUGUUGGAAUACCUUGCAAAGUGGGAAGGUCGACGGGUUCCUGUCGUCACAGCUGCAAUGGUCGUCGAGAUCCGCAAAAUUUACACAUGGAACUGGUUGA